AAGUAAUGAUUAUAAAACUCAUUGUAGGUGACAAACGGCGCUAAUCGAAGAAAAAAAAUAUCAGAGACGAACAAUUACACAUGAAAAAGAUAUACAUGAUCAAGAGAAGAACGAAUAUACAUGCAUAACAUCCCAGGUCAAAUAUUGAACAAGGAUCAGAAGAAAGAAUAGAUUUAGACAUUUGUGAAAGGAACAAUGGAAACUUUGGAAGUUUACUCUUUCUGAAACGUAUAACUACAACAAAGAUGUGAUCAUUGUAUUAGAAACUGAAUUUCCCAGUCUUCUAGUGGUUUAACUAGCUUACCAAGGCAUAUACCUUCAUGAUUUAUGCACUUAUCUUUUUCAUGUUUUUUUUUCUUUUUAUAUUUUAUCUUAUCGAAGUAGCAUUGAAAAAAAACGGGAAUAUAUAAAUAUUUAAGAGAAAGUUACUACAUUUUGUACUUGGAAUAACUUAUUUUAAUAAAGAGAAGAUACGACGUU
Mercenaria mercenaria is the source of this 480-nucleotide long non-coding RNA. RefSeq lists it as uncharacterized. The transcript has 2 exons. The record is from RefSeq and is a predicted model, not a curated record. Lineage: Eukaryota; Metazoa; Mollusca; Bivalvia; Venerida; Veneridae.